GCCCAGUGAUGAGACCAAGGCGAAUACGAGCUUACUAAAUGAGAGUUGGGUUCUUCUUUGCCUUGACUGGCAGGUAAUCUUGGCAGUGCAGAGGAGCAUUCCUGCUCUGCUGUAAGGGCCUGCCUACAGUGACUUUGCUCAACCCAAAUUAUUCCUCUACAGUCACAGCGGAGUAUAUGCUGGGCUGAAGCUGACAGAGAGAAGAGAGAGAGAGAGAGUGAGUGUUUGUGUGUGUGUGUGUUUGUGUGAAUGAGUGAGAGAGGCAAGAAGUUUACCCAGCUCUCUUUGCUGUUCAGUUAGCAAUGAGUUGCUUCUUUGGUAAUCUGAGGGCA
Molecule: small nucleolar RNA, 332 nt
Organism: Etheostoma spectabile (orangethroat darter)
Lineage: Eukaryota; Metazoa; Chordata; Actinopteri; Perciformes; Percidae
Source: RefSeq, a predicted model, not a curated record